UGUAAUGAAACGUCUAAGGAUGGGCAACUU
RNAcentral lists this non-coding RNA (30 nucleotides) under Rattus norvegicus (Norway rat). Lineage: Eukaryota; Metazoa; Chordata; Mammalia; Rodentia; Muridae. The record is from RNAcentral.